UUCUUCACACAAAAAACUGCAGGGGGCGCUGCUGCUGUCUCUGUUUGUGCUUUGCUGCAUAUUCUUCUCUGUUUGCCUGCAUUGUGUGUCUGUUUUACUAAGUCUCUGAACACGUUUUCCAUCCAGUAAUGAAACAUUUUUUCUACGGUAAAACUUUCACUUCAGCUUUAGCUUCAGCAUAGAAAGCUGUUUACAGUAACACAUCACUGAUCUUAGAUCGGAAUAGUAUGCAGCUGGCUGUUAAAAUCAUCAUAUUUAUUUAAGUAACAAAACAAACUGAAGACAUCCUCAAGAUAUAAGUCUGCGAAAUGCUCCUGAAGCAGUAAUAAAAGGGGUGUUUGUCGUCCUCGCUGUG
This 355-nucleotide unclassified non-coding RNA is filed under the name Oreochromis niloticus (Nile tilapia). RNAcentral describes it as "partial nontranscribed spacer". Lineage: Eukaryota; Metazoa; Chordata; Actinopteri; Cichliformes; Cichlidae. The record is from RNAcentral.